GGCAGAGUGCCCGAGUGGUUAAGGGGUUGCACUCGAAAGAACGGUGGGUCCAACCCAUCAGAAUCUCAUAUGCAAUACGUUCGCGUGCGCAGGUUCGAAUCCUGUCUCUGUCG
This 113-nucleotide transfer RNA is filed under the name Cordyceps militaris CM01. It matches the Rfam family "tRNA". Rfam says of the family: Transfer RNA (tRNA) molecules are approximately 80 nucleotides in length. Their secondary structure includes four short double-helical elements and three loops (D, anti-codon, and T loops). Lineage: Eukaryota; Fungi; Ascomycota; Sordariomycetes; Hypocreales; Cordycipitaceae. The record is from Rfam by way of RNAcentral.